RNAcentral lists this transfer RNA (73 nucleotides) under Camelus ferus (Wild Bactrian camel). It matches the Rfam family "tRNA". Rfam says of the family: Transfer RNA (tRNA) molecules are approximately 80 nucleotides in length. Their secondary structure includes four short double-helical elements and three loops (D, anti-codon, and T loops). The record is from Rfam by way of RNAcentral. Lineage: Eukaryota; Metazoa; Chordata; Mammalia; Artiodactyla; Camelidae.
GAAGGUAUAGCUCAAGUGGUAGAGCGCAUGCUUAGCAUGCAGGAGGUCCUGGGUUCAGUCCCCAGUACCUCCU